This 287-nucleotide unclassified non-coding RNA is filed under the name uncultured fungus. Its description in RNAcentral is "partial contains 5.8S rRNA, ITS2 and 28S rRNA". It matches the Rfam family "Eukaryotic large subunit ribosomal RNA", at positions 668 to 961 of the family's 3401-position model. Lineage: Eukaryota; Fungi. The record is from RNAcentral.
AAGGAGUCGUCUUCGUAUGCGAGUGUUCGGGUGUAAAACCCGUACGCGUAAUGAAAGUGAACGUAGGUGAGAGCUUCGGCGCAUCACCGACCGAUCCUGAUGUAUUCGGAUGGAUUUGAGUAAGAGCAUACGGGGCCGGACCCGAAAGAAGGUGAACUAUGCCUGAAUAGGGUGAAGCCAGAGGAAACUCUGGUGGAGGCUCGCAGCGGUUCUGACGUGCAAAUCGAUCGUCAAAUUUGGGCAUGGGGGCGAAAGACUAAUCGAACCUUCUAGUAGCUGGUUCCCGC